Molecule: ribosomal RNA, 419 nt
Filed under: uncultured bacterium
Lineage: Bacteria
Description: bacterial SSU rRNA
Rfam family: Bacterial small subunit ribosomal RNA
Source: RNAcentral
GGAAUUUUGGACAAUGGGGGAAACCCUGAUCCAGCGACGCCGCGUGAAGGAUGACGGUCUUCGGAUUGUAAACUUCUUUUAUUUGGGACUAAGAAAUCUGUGGAAACACGGAGAGUGAAUGUACCAGAUGAAUAAGCAACGGCUAACUUCGUGCCAGCAGCCGCGGUAAUACGAAGGUUGCAAGCGUUACUCGGAAUUACUAGGCGUAAAGGGCAGGUAGGUUGUUUGGUAAGUCUAUUGUGAAAGCUCCCGGCUUAACUGGGAGAGGCCAAUGGAUACUGCCAAGCUUGAGUAUAGGAGAGGUUACUGGAAUUCCCGGUGUAGCGGUGAAAUGCGCAGAUAUCGGGAGGAACACCAAUGGCGAAAGCAGGUAACUGAACUAUUACUGACACUCAACUGCGAAAGCUAGGGGAGCAAAC